UGGACACAGGACCAGAGUCCUGCAGAACCUCACAGCUGAGGAGUUUGAGAACCUCGAGAAGGCUGACGGCGGUCUCUUUCUGAUCAAUGUGAAGCAGCACAAACCUGCCUCUGCUUUCGGACUCGCUAAGCUGGCCGUCACCAAGCUGGAGCUGAAGUGGCUGAAAGCUUUCUGCCGCUUGAGGAAGCAUAUGGCGCGAUAUGAGACUUCUGUGGGGUGGCUUUUCUUUUCUGGCACACAGGCCAGGAUUUCUGUGCAUGUCAAGCUUGCCCUGCGGGCACUCGUGGGAAGGGACAUCACUGUGUCGGACAUCCGCAUGGCUCUAGCAACCUACUGCGAACGCAAUCUGUCUGACGAACGGCACAUGCUCGUGACCAAAACGAUGUGCCACAGCAAGGAGCUGAGUCGUGGAGCUGUCGGUCAGCGAGGCGCACUCCGCCCAGUCUGCGCUUGAGUCUGCUACGGGCAUAGUACAGUAGCAUCACUCAUGGCAAGACCACACAG
Long non-coding RNA from Ictalurus punctatus (channel catfish), 504 nucleotides. Lineage: Eukaryota; Metazoa; Chordata; Actinopteri; Siluriformes; Ictaluridae. The record is from Ensembl.